UGGCAAUGCACGUCUGAAUCAUACCAUCAUCAUACGACGUUGCUGUUGUUGCCAUGAUCAAGAAGUGAUUGAUAAAAUGCGUUUGUGAGGUUAUAUCUACCAAUUUUCCAUUGUUUAAGAAUUUGGUGAUGAGUGAAUGAUUGACAAAUUAUUAUGAGUUGACUCUUCAUCAUAAACGUUGUGUAGUGUAGUGCCAAGUGUAAAUACACCUUCAAACAUGGAUGUGGACUUCGAUAACGACCCUGUCGAUCAAAAUUUGCUGCAACUUUUCAGUUGUAUGGGAACAACUGACAAAGAUGAGCUAGUAAAACAGAUGCAAAAACUUGUUGGGGACAAUAUGAAUGCAACAACAGCUUCUUUUUUUCUUGAUAUGAACAAUUGGAACCUUCAGGCCGCAGUGUGCUCCUAUUUUGAUUUCGAACAUUCACUAAAACUGCCAUCUAUGAGCUUGGUCCGUGAUGAGCUCAGUGAUCAGAUUCUAGAAUACCCACCUGGCACUAUUUUUCGUCGUGUCUGGCAGGUGCAAAACACAGGUGAGGAGUCAUGGCCACUGGGCUGUCACCUGCAGUGGGCGGGGGGUGACUCCCUGGACGGCACCCGCGAGCGCAUAGCCGUGCCACCCCUCACACCCUGCGCAUGCGCAAACAUUGCAUCAGCUGAAAUUACUGCGCCCCUCCAGCCUGGCAUCUACAAGACAAAGUUCCGGGUGGCCACGCCUAGCGGUGCAUAUUUCGGAGACAUAAUUUGGAUGAUAGUGACUGUGAGCGAUGCGGCCGAGGCGAUGACCAAUGAGCUGGCCGAUCAGCUGUCUCACCUGAAUGCACUUGGCAACACUGUCGGCUUCCCGUCAACCAAUCCAGCCAAUCCGUUCAGUGCCAACCCAAACGCCAAUGCAAACUCGCACUUACAGGAUUCACUUCAUCCUGGCAGUAACGAUAACAUGUGUUGACCAAUACCCAUUCUGGCCUUGCGAAACAAUACAAUUUAUUAUUAUCUACGCUCAAUACGAAACCUAUCUAGAACGUCCAAGCAGUGAGCGAUCGAUUGUAAAUUAAGUAUUUUUCGAGCUAAAAUAGCUUAAAACAAUAGAUUAUGGCCCAGAUGAAAUUGUUGUGAAUGGAAGGAAAUAUGUUGAGAAAAUGUGUUUUUUUUUUUUUUAAUUUGUAUUCAAGUUGAUUAAAUUUUAACAAUAAUUUUUGUUUACUUUAUUUUCGGUUGAAAUUUGAGUUUUGAAGAAAUAUAAUGAAGUAUUCCCCACUGUCCAAGAUGUUAUUUUAAUUCUUAUUUUAAUGUAUGUAGAGUCAGUAUCAGAUUGAUGACCAUGUUUCUAGUUGAUCUUCGUUACUUGUUAUCCUAUUGGUUUCAUUAACUGGCAUUCCAUAAAUAUGAACGAUUUUUCAUUUCAUGUUUGAAACAAGGAACGAUCCUUCAGUAUCAUCAAGCUAUAUAUAAUUUGGACUGUUGUUUAAAAUUCUAUUCAAAUACAACUAAAAGUUCAAACUAAAAAUUUAAAUAGAACUAAUCUAUUGCAUAAUUUCUUAGCAAUUUAGUAGAGGUUACUAAAAAGUUGUUAUUUUCUUCAAUAUUGAUCUUUAGUAGGUUCUUAUGAUUAUCAUCGAGGUUAUUAAUUUUUAGUGAAUGGAUCGCAAUAAAUUAUGGAUUUUUUUUCAUCUUCAGGCUAUCGCAAAGAUAUUGAUCUCAGGUAUGCAUUUUCUUUUUAACGUUUUAAAUAUUCAUGUUCAUUUUUUUAAAGUCACGAUUGAAAUAUCCGCUGUACUUAGUGAAACUUACGAGUCGUAUCAAUGUAAGAAAGAAUUUUACUGCAAAAUCAUAAGAAUUAUAAUUAUAAUAUUCUUCAUUUCAAAAAACUUAAUUACUCCGUAGCAAGAAUUUAAAGCUGAGAAGAUUUCACUAGGUAUCAUUGUUGAUAGUCUAUUAUUAGCAACUGGAGUAACAAAUAUUGAACUGUUGAAUUUAAUUAUGUUCACUAUUUCCAUGCAAUGUUAAGGUAUGAUUUAUAUUAUUUUUAUUGGAGUAAUUUUGAUUAUAGAAUUAUUGUAACCUUGAUAGAAUGGUAAAUAAGUAGUGGGGUGCCUUGAGGUAAUAUAAUUUAUUAUCUAAUGAAGUAUACACUUUAAUUUCAAUCAAUGUAGAUAACGAUCCGAUAAAAUAAGAAAUUUAUUAAAAAGUAUAAUAUAAGCAUGAUAAGGAGUGGGGUGCCUUAACAUAACAGCCGAAAUCCCUAUAAACUACCACUUUGGACGAACUAAAACAAAUCGAAUUAAAUUAUAAUGAGGCCAAUCAUUUAAAACCUUAAAUCUGUAUUAUUGCACUUUUUAAAUAGAAUCUGUAUUACUGUAAUUUUUCAAUAAAGUCAAUAAACUUCAAAUUUGUUUAAAUAAUAGAAUAUAAGAGUCUAAAUACAAUAUCAUUAAAAAAUUGUUUAAUCAUAAAAUAUCUUGACCGAAUUUCCAAUUAUUUCUAGAAUAAAUAAUUAUUGUAAUAAAGCCCACAGUAACUCUAAUUAAUUCCGCAAAACUAGUCAAACUGUUAAAACUUUUCAAUAAUUACACAUCAAUUAUUCCCCCGGUUCAGUUUGUGAAGACAAAAAGUGAAACAAUAUUUAAGAAAAUAUAAAAUAGAUUUAAAAGAGUUAAGGCUAAGAACUAUUGAAUACAUUUAUUCUAAGAAAAUGUAAAUAGAGUGGGUAAUGCAGUUGAGAUAUGGAAUAGAGGACUUAGGCCUACAUUUGUUUUUUUUUUGUAAAAAAGUAUUUUAUAGGCAUUUCUGUUGAUGUGAAAAUGAUUAAAUCUCCAAUUUCUUGAGACCUCAUAAAGUUCUGAAGAUUUUGAGAGAAAACUAUGCUUGACAUAGGAGAUGGUGUGUUUAAUAGGUAAUUAGAUAUUAUAGGAUACCGUCAUCCUAUUAAAGAGGGUAAUUUAUUAUUGAUCAACCUAUACUAUAUUGAUUAUUAUAAAUCCAAGUGGAAACUUGAACCGUUAAAUAUUAUUUUUGAUAUAAGAAGCAAUAAAUGAACAAACAUUUAGCAUGAAGUUUGGUUGACUCAAUAUUUUUAAUCGUUUUAAAGCAUGUUUAUAUUACAAGAAGGUGUUAUCAGCUUCUGGAUUAUGCUAACUAGUUUUAAUCAUUAUCUGUGGUUUUUACGACAUUUCAAUUUUUUUAAUAUUAUCGCAGAGACCAAUAAUAAAGCAUCUACUAUCAACCACACCAAUUAAGUUCGUUCUAUCAAUUUCAUAUUGUACUUAUAUAUUCUUUUAUACUAACUCAACUAUUCUUUUUUAAUGAUAAUAGCCUUUUAUCUUUGUUCAGAACUUGAAUAUAAAACUAUGAAUGUUAACCAAUACAUAAUUUGAGUUUAGACUGGUAUUUUAUUGUAAAUAUUUCUAUUUUGUGUUGGACUGUAUUAGAGAUAGUUAUGAUUAAAAUAAUAUAGUGGGA
RNAcentral lists this unclassified non-coding RNA (3459 nucleotides) under Nilaparvata lugens (brown planthopper). RNAcentral describes it as "protein ILRUN, transcript variant X1". Lineage: Eukaryota; Metazoa; Arthropoda; Insecta; Hemiptera; Delphacidae. The record is from RNAcentral.